UACGUUUUUUAUAACCAAAUUGCCAUGCGAUACGGCCAUUUGCAUUACAGACGUCUCUUCAUUGAAAACGAAUGAUAUCAAUAGAUCUUGUUGAUCUUUAUUUUGUUUAAUCAGGCUUUUUCAACGCAUGAAGACACAAGCACGGAUAAAAAAGCAAAUCCGCUGGAAAUUGGAGAUAUAAUCCCGGUUGAAGCAUCAUCACAUUCGUUUUUAUACACGGUCCCACAACGAGUGGUGCAUCCAUUUGAAGCUUCUGCAUAUCUACAAUAUCUCCCGUAACGGCUCACGAUCUGCGUGUUUUAACGGAAUGUUUUAGAUGGACUAUUACUCCGGAACUUCCACCCUCAGUGACCAGUGGCAUCCCAGAAAGACGGGUAUCGCGUCCCUUUACUGAGCCCAAAUCAUACGCUGAAACACCAGAUAGUGUUGCUACCAGCUAAAGCUAAUGAUCGUUCGUUCAAUGGUGCUGCUGCUGCAGCUGCUACUACCGCUCCAGCCACAGGACUAUCCAAAUAUGAGGAUGACCAGUGUAUCGUAUCAAAAAUUGACAGUCGUAGAAAUUUUGAAACGGGAACAAGGUUUGAAGAAUCUUUAGGAAGAACUUCGCAACGAAUAAACUAUGUUGCUAUGAUGCUAUUGAAACAGUCUCAACACGUAAUGAUGAAAGAAAAUUUCAUCGUGACUUCAAGUAAUAGAAACAUGAACAACCCUCAAGCUUCGAUAUCGGUACCCUAACGAAAGGGUUACUCAGUGCGGUCGCAUUUCCAGCUCAUUCGAAAAACAUAAGUCAGUUAAUACAAAUCCAGUCAGUCGUGGGUCGCCUAUUAAUAUCGCGAAACCGCUUCAAUGUUUACUUUUACUUACGGGAGGUACCUAUUAUACCGUGACAUAUGUUACCCAUUGGAGCAAUCCGAACAGGGUCCAAUCUAAUUAUCACACCGUCAGUGACGAUAACUCCCACGAGCGCACCUUCGAAUAGUGUAAAAUUCAAAGCACUCUGAUAUCAGCAGUGCUUCGAGUUUGGCGUCGAUUUACCACCACUCAAGCAGAAGCGACUGAGGUCACGGUAAAACCUCCCGGAGUAGAAGGUUCAUUGCACUGAUUCACAACAUCGUAUAUAACAACGAACAAAUGUUGAUGGUUUAGAAAGGAUACCAAGAAGGAUAAGCUAUGCUCUUGAGUAACAUUGAAUAUGCUGAUGUGUAUGAACAUCCGGAUGAGGUUGUUGAGGAUCGCCAAAUGUUUUCCGAUACGGUCGAGAUGCGAGCGGAAAGAAUUAUUCCAGAAUUUAUUAGAAAAUUAUUUUGCUAUUUCGGAAACCGAUGGGUCAGAAUUAGGUGAUCGAUGUAAAGUUCAGCGAGGAUGAUAGUGAAGAGAAAAAUCUAUAGACCAUAAAAAAAGAGUUAGUGAAAAAAAUUGUUAAUUUAAGUACGUUAAACGUUUUUAAUUCAAGCAGUAACAACACUGCUUUACUCAUUGAUAAAUAAUUGAGCUGCUAUUUGGAUGAAUAAGAGUGAACAUACUAUUUCGUAAAUUUACAUGUACAUA
Molecule: long non-coding RNA, 1548 nt
Organism: Toxorhynchites rutilus septentrionalis
Lineage: Eukaryota; Metazoa; Arthropoda; Insecta; Diptera; Culicidae
Exons: 3
Source: RefSeq, a predicted model, not a curated record